UACGGGGGGAGCAAGCGUUGUUCGGAUUUACUGGGCGUAAAGCGCGCGUAGGCGGCUUUGCAAGUCGGGUGUGAAAUCCCCAGGCUUAACCUGGGAACUGCAUUCGAGACUGCAUUGCUAGAGUAUGGGAGAGGGAAGUGGAAUUUCCGGUGUAGCGGUGAAAUGCGUAGAUAUCGGAAGGAACAUCAGUGGCGAAAGCGACUCCUGGACCAAUACUGACGCUCAUGUGCGAAAGCGUGGGGAGCAAACAGG
This 252-nucleotide ribosomal RNA is filed under the name uncultured bacterium. RNAcentral describes it as "partial 16S ribosomal RNA". It matches the Rfam family "Bacterial small subunit ribosomal RNA", at positions 524 to 776 of the family's 1533-position model. The record is from RNAcentral.